RNAcentral lists this ribosomal RNA (367 nucleotides) under uncultured organism. RNAcentral describes it as "bacterial SSU rRNA". It matches the Rfam family "Bacterial small subunit ribosomal RNA", at positions 526 to 896 of the family's 1533-position model. The record is from RNAcentral.
CGGAGGGUGCAAGCGUUAUCCGGAUUCACUGGGUUUAAAGGGUGCGUAGGUGGGUUGGUAAGUCAGUGGUGAAAUCCCCGAGCUUAACUCGGGAACUGCCAUUGAUACUAUCAGUCUUGAAUACCGUGGAGGUCAGCGGAAUAUGUCAUGUAGCGGUGAAAUGCUUAGAUAUGACAUAGAACACCAAUUGCGAAGGCAGCUGGCUACACGAAUAUUGACACUGAGGCACGAAAGCGUGGGGAUCAAACAGGAUUAGAUACCCUGGUAGUCCACGCCCUAAACUAUGGAUACUCGACAUACGCGAUACACUGUGUGUGUCUGAGCGAAAGCAUUAAGUAUCCACCUGGGAAGUACGAUCGCAAGAUUG